AGCCACGCGGAGAGCACAAAGCGAACUAUUCUUUCGCCUUUUACUAAAGAUUACGGUGCGCUCGCCACAGAAAGUGGCAAACCGAAGUUUUUGGAGGGGUCUUUUCCUUUGGAUUAG
This is a small nuclear RNA of Rhododendron vialii, 117 nucleotides long. RefSeq annotates it as U5 spliceosomal RNA. The record is from RefSeq and is a predicted model, not a curated record. NCBI's taxonomy places the organism in Eukaryota, Viridiplantae, Streptophyta, Magnoliopsida, Ericales, Ericaceae. The transcript has a single exon.